AAACACCCGAAUAGACUACAAUCAACCCAUUAAAAGGUGGAAAUAAUUUUACCAAUCAAACCAUUCAUGUGCGGUCUUCCUCUCGCCGCAUAUGUGGUACGUCAUCCUUUGAAUGGCGAUUCUGAACCACACGUCAUACUGUGAUUUUGGUCGAUUUUUUUUUAAUGAUUGCGCAUGUUCACCAUAGAAGCCAAAACCAACAAAUUUCGCAUGAGUUUUUAGUUCAAAUCCUGUGUUUCGCAGAAAAUAGAUUUUUGAUCGGCAGUGUACCGUGUUCUAUUUACAGAAUUUCAAUAGCUCCUUGGUCAUGUGACCUGGUGUGACCUGGACCUCGCAAUAACCAUCUUUCACAUGGACACUGAAAAGAUGUGCAAAUGGCUGUAUGUGGUAUGGAUCAAGGACAGGAGAGGUGUUCAAACAGAGGUGCUUAAAGGAAGGCGCACAGUAUCUGCAUGAACCAUCAGGCCAAGUGUUUUUGAUUGACCCUGCUGGACAGAAAGAGAAGGAGGAAUCGGAACACGCUGCAUUCAAAUUCAGAACUGGAUUGGUUACUAUGGGUGUUCACUUAACACCUUCUGUAACACCCGGCGCAGCAAAGCUGCUGGUUAUAAGCGCAGUGUGUCUGCCUACAAUUUAUUUUCCGCAGAGGUGCUGAAGGGGAAAGAGUGGAGCCUGGUGAAAUGGAUGCUGAGGAGGCCAGUGUCAGAGGAGUACAGUGAGCAGGUCGAUAUGUAGGGGUGCAGGAGGUCCGUAAGGUAUUUGGGCGCCAGUCCAUUGAGUGCUUUGCAGGUGAGCAUGAGCAGUUUGAAUGUGAUCCUGUAUUGAUCAAGUAAGCCUAAAUAGCUCACUAUUGAGCUAUUAUCACCACGACAAUAGACACUUAUCACCACGACAAUAUCCUCUUUUAUGGUUGACAUCAGUAUACAAUAUUGUCAUCUCCGGUGACCUGACAAACCUCAGUGGCAGUUGGAGGAGAUUCCAGAAGAUGGCUGAGGAGUUCAGAGAGUCAAGAGAUAAAGGACAGAUGACUGAAGGCGUUAGGGCAAGAAGAGUUGAUGACUACGUAAGCCCAGGUUAAUACAUUUCCUAUUAAGUUGUCCGAUUUGAGGAUCUGGGGUUGGAGGCUGUUGUCCUCAUCUUGAAGAAACAUGGAGAAGACAAGGAGGUGCAGUAUCUGGCCACUAGUGGAGCGCAACAGUUUGUCAUGAGAACAGGUAAAGUAUUAUUGUAAAGCAUACUAAAAGCCAGUCAUUGUAAUGCAUGUUUCACAAGAUGUUGGCAAGACCUAUGUGGUUGCUGUGUUGCGUGUUUUCCUACGCAUAUUUGCCAUACAUACCAAUAAUAAUGUGGGUGCUUAUACUGGUCCUAAUGUAUGUUAUGUUACAUGUCAUUCUGCACCAUGUUCUUUUAAAUGUUCAUGGGUGUGAACACAACUGGACCACUGGAGGGACGGAGGAGCCGAGCAGAUCGAAUUCAGACCUUUCUUGAUAGUUGUAACUCAACAAUAGUCCUCUUGCCGAUUGCUCCAGUCCCCCCCAGAAGUGGCGAGGGCCAGCUGGGCCUCAGAGGACAUCCGGGGCCCCCCAGACCCCUAGUUCAAUCUACAGCUGAUCGGCCGACCUUUGUGGUUUCUUCUGGGUAUCCUGCCUUGGAGACUUUUCUGGGGCUGCCUGCCUUGAGUGGACACCCCGGGGCCCCAGGCCCUGCAGUUUCUGGGUCAGCGGGACCCAUAACUGACACUCUUGCCCAGGUCAUGCUGGUGUCAGAUGUGAGUCCUAAAAAUGUGGUUGUUUGCUUUUUGUUUUUAAUGUUGGGAAUUUAGUCACAAAAAAAUAUGUUCAGUGUCCAGUAUCUUGAAAUGAAAUGCAAUGCUUCUAUCUCAUGAGAAGAACUGAUCUACCUGCUGUUUAUGUGAGACAAAGAUUCAUGAAAGUAAAAUUAAUUGCUUUGUGUAGUUCUGCAUGUGAUAGUAUUUAACUGCAUGGCAGUACACGUUAGUAUUUUAGUACAUUUCAUAACUAUACAUUAGAUAUGCAGUUCAAAAUACUGAUAAUAAAGAUGAUUAAAAUGUUUAAACAUAAUCUGCCCAUUUCUUUGUUUUUGGUGUUAUAUCAGUCUUUGUAUUGCUCAUACCAACUGAGCCAUAUGUUUAAAACUGUCAGUCCUUGCAUACUGGUCCAGAUGGAAUAAAAUGUACUGUACAUGUUGGUAUAAUACUCUGGCAGAAUAUAUUCUGGAAGGAGUAGGCAUAGUAGCACACUAACUUUACUCUGGUCACUGUCCUUAUUGACAUUUACUUAAAGGGCUGUGAAAACAAUGAAAAUGCCACAAUAUAUUUAGGGAUGCAAAAAACAGAUAGGAAUCAUGUGUUCAUCUAUAGAGAUGGAUGUAGCAUCUUCCUUUCCCAAUCUGUUGGCAAAUGACUUUAAACUGCAUGUGUCUUACAUGGUGAUUUAGGAGGUUAGCUGUGGACUGAACCCUUUUACAGGGGCUGAGUCACUGGCCUACUGGUGUUCUUCCAUGCCGUCCAUGGGAGGGGUGCGUCACUUGAGUGGGUUGAGUCACUGACGUGGUC
Molecule: non-coding RNA, 2575 nt
Organism: Salmo salar (Atlantic salmon)
Lineage: Eukaryota; Metazoa; Chordata; Actinopteri; Salmoniformes; Salmonidae
Source: RefSeq, a predicted model, not a curated record